GCAUUCGUGGUGUAAUGGUCAACACACUCGGCGCAUAUUCCAGAGGGCCAGGGUUCGAGUCCCGGCGAGGGCU
RNAcentral lists this transfer RNA (73 nucleotides) under Stegodyphus mimosarum. It matches the Rfam family "tRNA". From Rfam's summary of the family: Transfer RNA (tRNA) molecules are approximately 80 nucleotides in length. Their secondary structure includes four short double-helical elements and three loops (D, anti-codon, and T loops). The record is from Rfam by way of RNAcentral. Lineage: Eukaryota; Metazoa; Arthropoda; Arachnida; Araneae; Eresidae.